GACGAACGCUGGCGGCGUGCUUAACACAUGCAAGUCGAACGGAAAGGCCCUGCUUUUGUGGGGUGCUCGAGUGGCGAACGGGUGAGUAACACGUGAGUAACCUGCCCUUGACUUUGGUAUAACUUCAGGAAACUGGGGCUAAUACCGGAUAGGAGCUCCUGCUGCAUGGUGGGGGUUGGAACGUUUCGGCGGUUGGGGAUGGACUCGCGGCUUAUCAGCUUGUUGGUGGGGUAGUGGCUUACCAAGGCUUUGACGGGUAGCCGGCCUGAGAGGGUGACCGGCCACAUGGGGACUGAGAGACGGCCCAGACUCCUACGGGAGGCAGCAGUGGGGAAUAUUGCACAAUGGGCGGAAGCCUGAUGCAGCAACGCCGCGUGCGGGAUGACGGCCUUCGGGUUGUAAACCGCUUUCGCCUGUGACGAAGCGUGAGUGACGGUAAUGGGUAAAGAAGCACCGGCUAACUACGUG
RNAcentral lists this ribosomal RNA (468 nucleotides) under uncultured bacterium. Its description in RNAcentral is "partial 16S ribosomal RNA". It matches the Rfam family "Bacterial small subunit ribosomal RNA", at positions 28 to 507 of the family's 1533-position model. The record is from RNAcentral.